This 26-nucleotide non-coding RNA is filed under the name Mus musculus (house mouse). The record is from RNAcentral. Lineage: Eukaryota; Metazoa; Chordata; Mammalia; Rodentia; Muridae.
GGCUAUUUGUUACACCGUCCGUGGGC